Molecule: long non-coding RNA, 294 nt
Organism: Oncorhynchus masou masou (cherry salmon)
Lineage: Eukaryota; Metazoa; Chordata; Actinopteri; Salmoniformes; Salmonidae
Exons: 3
Source: RefSeq, a predicted model, not a curated record
GACGAUUCUUCAUCCUGUAUGAACAUGGCAGCAUGAGCUUUGCACUGGACGAGUUGACAAGCACUCUGCCACAAGGAACAGUGAACAUGAAUCUGUGUACAGCGGUGAUUGACGCAGAGCCUAAGACAGGCCAGAGGAACGCUUUGUGCAUCAUCACACCUGAACAGGAGUUCUUUAUCCGGGGGGAGAACAAGGAGAUCAUCAAUGGCUGGAGUGAACAACUAGUCGUUUACCCACGGACCUAUAAGCAGAAUCAGAAGAAGAAACGUAAAGUAGAACCCACUACUUCCCAGG